CGAGCGGUAUUGUUUCUUCGGAAAUGAGAGAGCGGCGUACGGGUGCGGAACACGUGUGCAACCUGCCUUUAUCUGGGGGAUAGCCUUUCGAAAGGAAGAUUAAUACUCCAUAAUAUAUUGAACGGCAUCGUUUAAUAUUGAAAGCUCCGGCGGAUAGAGAUGGGCACGCGCAAGAUUAGCUAGUUGGUGAGGUAACGGCUCACCAAGGCGAUGAUCUUUAGGGGGCCUGAGAGGGUGAUCCCCCACACUGGUACUGAGACACGGACCAGACUCCUACGGGAGGCAGCAGUGAGGAAUAUUGGUCAAUGGGUACAAGCCUGAACCAGCCAUCCCGCGUGAAGGACGACUGCCCUAUGGGUUGUAAACUUCUUUUGUAUAGGGAUAAACCUACCCUCGUGAGGGUAGCUGAAGGUACUAUACGAAUAAGCACCGGCUAACUCCGUGCCAGCAGCCGCGGUAAUACGGAGGGUGCAAGCGUUAUCCGGAUUUAUUGGGUUUAAAG
This 502-nucleotide ribosomal RNA is filed under the name uncultured bacterium. Its description in RNAcentral is "bacterial SSU rRNA". It matches the Rfam family "Bacterial small subunit ribosomal RNA", at positions 63 to 565 of the family's 1533-position model. The record is from RNAcentral.